ACCAUUGUUGACUCACUUAGGCUGAUGGCAGCUGCCUCUGCUGGGAAGGAAGCGUUUUUCCCACAACAUAUUAAAUGCGGCACUGGAGGAUGGCUGGCUGGUCCAGGGGCCGGAUCUGGCUCUGUUGCUCACAAUGAUUCUGUUUGGCAAGCGUUUUUAAAAAGCCUUGAAAAGAAGAAAUGCGUGAGGAUUGAAAUUGGCAACCAAUCUUUGAAAGCCUAGUAGACACCCGAUGCCUUCAACAUGUCUUAUAUGACCCUUGCCUCCAGCCUGUAAGGCUGGAGUGCAGUGGUGUGAUCUCAGCUCACUGAAACCUCCGCCUCCCGGAUUCAAGCAAUUCUCUUGCCUCAGCCUCCUGAGUAGCUGGGAUUACAGGUACCCUCUAUCAUGCCCGGGUAAUUUAAA
RNAcentral lists this long non-coding RNA (405 nucleotides) under Homo sapiens (human). Its description in RNAcentral is "HSALNT0338347". Lineage: Eukaryota; Metazoa; Chordata; Mammalia; Primates; Hominidae. The record is from RNAcentral.